This 1148-nucleotide long non-coding RNA is filed under the name Sander lucioperca (pikeperch). Its description in RNAcentral is "lncRNA (ENSSLUG00000022331.1)". Lineage: Eukaryota; Metazoa; Chordata; Actinopteri; Perciformes; Percidae. The record is from RNAcentral.
UUGUUCUCCCAGAUGGCGUGCUCCAUGCAGUGAGCGGAGACCGGGUGCGUUUGGUUCUGAGGAGCAGGCGGCGCGUUGAAGCCGCCCUGCUGGACUAUCACAACGAGCUGAACCACCUUGACGUCAACAAGUGUCUCAGACUGCUCAACGAAAGGUACUUCUGGAAAACCAUGAGAACUGAUGUGGCGCAGUGGAUCGACAGUUGCUCGCAGUGCAGCAGCAAUAAGAAGAAGAAGAAAGCACACAUCCAAACAGCACCGGGAGGAUCAGAGUCACACCUGCAGGCGCCCAGAUCUCCACACAUACCUGAGGAUGUAGACAGUGGGCCGGAUGCCGAUGAUUACAGCGAUGAUGGUGAUGAUGGUGAUGAUGUUGAUGUAUGUGGUGGGAGUGUCGGUGAUGAAGAGAGGCGGCCAGCGACCAAUUCAGAGGACAGAGUGGAGAACCCUUCACCUGUAACUCCCAUCAGCCCUCGGCCCAGAAUCCCCAUCCUCCUUCAUGUAAGAACUCCCAUCAACUUCCAGCCCAGAACUCCAGUAAUCCUCCAGCCGAGGACUCCCAACCUCCCCUUUGUGACCAGAAUCUGGUCCCUCAGGACAGGGGCCCUUCCACAGUCUGAAGUCCAGAAGGAGACAAACGGCUCCAACACUCAGCCUGCCAGCCAAAGCAGCGUCCAGGUUCAGCCGGAGGAGCAGACACAGUCUCAGGACCAGAAGCGAACAUGUGGCCCUCGGGGCAGUGCCAGAACGCAUCACUAUGUCAAAGUCCAGGACCUAGCCACACCUCUCCCAGAUUCACAUCCUCCAUUCGAGCUUCCAGCAACACCCAAACUUCCACAAGACACAAGCAAGCAAAGUCAGCCUCCGAAUCAAAGCAGGGGACUGAAGAGCCAGUCCCAACCCCAGAGCCAUGUUCAGCACCCGGGCAAGAGGAAGAGAGAGCUGGAGGCAGCGUCUUCGGCUAAGAGGAGCUCCAGCUGUGGCCUGGAGCCUGUGGUGGCCCCGAGCACCAAACCCUGGCCCGUCUUCACCAUCGCUGGCUCUGCCCCGCCACAGGCAGCCAAACCCCUUUCUAGAGUGGACAGGUACGUACAAGUACUACUGACUCAGAAAAAUAACUUUUCACAACUUUUUCAACGACGCUGGGAA